GAUGAACGCUGGCGGCGUGCCUAAUACAUGCAAGUCGAGCGAACAGAUGAGGAGCUUGCUCCUCUGACGUUAGCGGCGGACGGGUGAGUAACACGUGGAUAACCUACCUAUAAGACUGGGAUAAAUUCGGGAAACCGGAGCUAAAACCGGAUAAUAUAUUGAACCGCAUGGUUCAAUAGUGAAAGACGGUUUUGCUGUCACUUAUAGAUGGAUCCGCGCCGCAUUAGCUAGUUGGUAAGGUAACGGCUUACCAAGGCAACGAUGCGUAGCCGACCUGAGAGGGUGAUCGGCCACACUGGAACUGAGACACGGUCCAGACUCCUACGGGAGGCAGCAGUAGGGAAUCUUCCGCAAUGGGCGAAAGCCUGACGGAGCAACGCCGCGUGAGUGAUGAAGGUCUUCGGAUCGUAAAACUCUGUUAUUAGGGAAGAACAAAUGUGUAAGUAACUAUGCACGUCUUGACGGUACCUAAUCAGAAAGCCACGGCUAACUACGUG
Molecule: ribosomal RNA, 497 nt
Filed under: uncultured bacterium
Lineage: Bacteria
Description: partial 16S ribosomal RNA
Rfam family: Bacterial small subunit ribosomal RNA
Source: RNAcentral